GGGUGGGGAGCCAAGAGCGGAGGAGAAAACAGAAGAGAGGAGCGGGCCGCAGAGCACCCACACUGGCGGCCGCGGGAGCGCGGGGUGAGGAGCGAGGAGGGCGCAGGAGGGGGAGUGGUCAGCGGGGCGGGGAGCGGCGGCUUCAGCCCUCCUUUCCCCUCGAGGCGCCGGACAGCCAGGUGCCUGCGCUGGGGGUGUGCGAGUGCGGGCGUGAGUGGCAGUGGCCGUGGCCGCCACCGGGACUGCUCCUGGGGCCCCGCGGCUCCGCGCGUCCGCCAGGGCUCACGGGGGCCCGGGGCGGCCGCUGGUUGGCUCGCUCGCCGCCCUCGCCUCCAAUCCCCGGUGCCUGCCCUAAUUUCCUGAUCCAGGGAACCUGCCGCCGCGGCAGCUCUGAGCUCCCUACAGUCAUUACCGUACCCUCUCGGCAGCCGCCAGCAGUCAGUGCAGCCGCCGAAGCAGUUAGCGCUGAUGCAACUAUUACUGCUAUUGCCACCGUCUUCCCACUAACGGGGUUUGCAGCCCCUGGGGGGGGGGGUUGCAGCUUCCAAGGGCAGCAGGCAUCUCUCUACCACCCUCUCCUGCGCCCCAAAGAGAGGCCGGUACUGUGAGGCCGUCCAUCAGGGUGAUGCAGAAGACUGUCCUAUGAACCAGGCAGAGCAAUGGAAGCCAAAGAGAGGGCUCCGGUGUCUAGCCACAGGCACGCCACAAGGGACGAGAAGGAGCAGCAGUUUCAGCGAACAGGGGAAGAGAAGCUGUGUGUGGACAGCCUCUGCUUUAAGUCCAGCAUUAAAGGAAUUCACAAUGAGUCUCAAGCUCUUCCAUGGUUAUGAGCAAGAGGUCCCUGGAGCUAAGAGAUACUGAUACCAUGUGAAAAGUGGGAAUAUACCAAUCCUGAGUUGAAAAGCAAUCCAGGAGAGUUAGAACCUAAUGUGAAGAAGUAUGGGAUAUAGUUUAACUGCUGCAUUUUUUCUCUUAACGUGUGAAGAAUCCUGUCAAAGAGCUGCAUUUUCUUCAUCAGUUAGAAAAGACUAUGCUCAUAGAUCACGGCAACUGGUAGGCACUCCAGGGUGAGACGUAGCAGAGGCACAAUCACGCUCAGCUUCCUGCUCAACUCCAGACAGUGAUGUUCCAGGCCCUCUACUCUAGGGUCAUCUUCUCAGUGGCACCUCUGCCACUAGCAGAAAGCCUCAGCUUACCCACGGGAGAAGGUGACGCUGACCUGGAAGUUCUGCUCAGAAAGGAGAAAGAAGAGCCUCUUAUGUAACUUGAAGAGUAUAAAGGAGCCAAUGGUAAAAGCCACUGCCCUGAACUCUUCCAAAACUCCAUAAAUCUCUUGCGUAGGAUUCUGCAGUCAUGGCAAAGGUAUUGUUUGUCUUGCUUGUCUUACG
Long non-coding RNA from Manis pentadactyla (Chinese pangolin), 1388 nucleotides. RefSeq lists it as uncharacterized. The record is from RefSeq and is a predicted model, not a curated record. The transcript has 5 exons. Lineage: Eukaryota; Metazoa; Chordata; Mammalia; Pholidota; Manidae.